GCCUCGGUGGCUUAGCUGGUAUAUUAAAUUAUAUUUAAUGAUAUCGACCAAAAGCACUGCCUUGGUAAGGCAGAGGUCGCGGGUUCAAAUCCCGCCCGAGGCU
RNAcentral lists this transfer RNA (103 nucleotides) under Promethearchaeota archaeon. RNAcentral describes it as "Candidatus Lokiarchaeota archaeon (permafrost metagenome) tRNA-Thr". It matches the Rfam family "tRNA". From Rfam's summary of the family: Transfer RNA (tRNA) molecules are approximately 80 nucleotides in length. Their secondary structure includes four short double-helical elements and three loops (D, anti-codon, and T loops). Further hydrogen bonds mediate the characteristic L-shaped molecular structure. tRNAs have two regions of fundamental functional importance: the anti-codon, which is responsible for specific mRNA codon recognition, and the 3' end, to which the tRNAs corresponding amino acid is attached (by aminoacyl-tRNA synthetases). tRNAs cope with the degeneracy of the genetic code in two manners: having more than one tRNA (with a specific anti-codon) for a particular amino acid; and 'wobble' base-pairing, i.e. permitting non-standard base-pairing at the 3rd anti-codon position. The record is from RNAcentral. Lineage: Archaea; Promethearchaeati; Promethearchaeota.